CAGACAUACACUGUUUUCUAACCGUCUGUUCUCCAAUGCUCUUCUUAUUCUCGACACUGGUUCCGUUGUAAAGCCAAACUGGGACAAGGACAGAAGACUUGGAGCCUACAGUUUUAUUUGCGGUCCAGGUGCUGCUCUGGACACAAUGUGGAAGAGAAAGGC
Choloepus didactylus (southern two-toed sloth) is the source of this 162-nucleotide long non-coding RNA. RefSeq lists it as uncharacterized. The record is from RefSeq and is a predicted model, not a curated record. NCBI's taxonomy places the organism in Eukaryota, Metazoa, Chordata, Mammalia, Pilosa, Megalonychidae. The transcript is spliced from 3 exons.